Molecule: ribosomal RNA, 474 nt
Filed under: uncultured bacterium
Lineage: Bacteria
Description: bacterial SSU rRNA
Rfam family: Bacterial small subunit ribosomal RNA
Source: RNAcentral
ACGCUGGCGGCGUGCCUAACACAUGCAAGUCAACUUGACGGAAGGAGCAAUCUGACCGUAGAGUGGCGCAAGGGUGCGUAACGCGUAAGUAACUUGCCCAAGGUAAGGAAUAACGUCGAGAAAUCGGCGCUAAUACCUCAUAAUGCAGCGGAUCCGCAUGGAUAUGUUGUUAAAGGUUUACCGCCUUGGGAUAGGCUUGCGUCUGAUUAGCUAGUUGGUGUGGUAACGGCACACCAAGGCUACGAUCAGUAACUGGUCUGAGAGGAUGAUCAGUCACACUGGAACUGAGACACGGUCCAGACUCCUACGGGAGGCAGCAGUGAGGAAUAUUGGGCAAUGCUCGAAAGAGUGACCCAGCAACGCCGCGUGGAGGAUGAAGGUAUUCUAUACCGUAAACUCCUGUGAGAGCAGACGAAAGACAGAUUAUUAAUCUGGAUGACUGUAUGCUCAGAGGAAGCCCCGGCUAACUACGUG